Molecule: ribosomal RNA, 502 nt
Filed under: uncultured soil bacterium
Lineage: Bacteria
Description: bacterial SSU rRNA
Rfam family: Bacterial small subunit ribosomal RNA
Source: RNAcentral
AGAGUUUGAUCCUGGCUCAGGACGAACGCUGGCGGCGUGCUUAACACAUGCAAGUCGAGCGGUAAGGCUCCUUCGGGAGUACACGAGCGGCGAACGGGUGAGUAACACGUGAGCAAUCUGCCCUUCACUUCGGGAUAACUCCGGGAAACCGGUGCUAAUACCGAAUACGACCACUUCAGGCAUCUGAUGGUGGUGGAAAGUUCCGGCGGUGAAGGAUGAGCUCGCGGCCUAUCAGCUUGUUGGUGGGGUAAUGGCCCACCAAGGCAACGACGGGUAGCCGGCCUGAGAGGGUGACCGGCCACACUGGGACUGAGACACGGCCCAGACUCCUACGGGAGGCAGCAGUGGGGAAUAUUGGACAAUGGGCGAAAGCCUGAUCCAGCAACGCCGCGUGAGGGAUGACUGCCUUCGGGUUGUAAACCUCUUUCAGCAGGGACGAAGCGCAAGUGACGGUACCUGCAGAAGAAGCACCGGCCAACUACGUGCCAGCAGCCGCGGUAAU